ACAGAGAGAGAGAGAGAGAGUUGGAUUUAGCUGCAUUGGAGUAGGAGGUGGUUUUUGUUGAGGGUUGUGAGAUUGGCAGAGGUGCACCUAGGAAAUUUUGAAGCCUGGACCUAAAGGCCUUUGGAGGCCUCCCACCCCACACACAGUAUUUUAAAUACAUUUUUAACAUGAAGGAGAAGACAGAAGGAGAACAGCUUGGGUGGGGCACUGACUGACUGCUGUCUUUGCCCCUGCCCCACCUUUCCUCAGAUGAAAAGAAAUGCUCAGAAAGCUGAACAGCAUAUGUACCCAGUAGAGAAGCUUGUAGAGAAGCUUGUGUGCCCUGCUUUGGAGAGAUCUUUAUUCUAAUCAGUAGAUAAUAAACUUAUUCUUGUUUUCAUUUUA
Long non-coding RNA from Hemicordylus capensis (graceful crag lizard), 384 nucleotides. RefSeq lists it as uncharacterized. The record is from RefSeq and is a predicted model, not a curated record. The transcript has 2 exons. Lineage: Eukaryota; Metazoa; Chordata; Lepidosauria; Squamata; Cordylidae.